This 445-nucleotide ribosomal RNA is filed under the name uncultured bacterium. RNAcentral describes it as "partial 16S ribosomal RNA". It matches the Rfam family "Bacterial small subunit ribosomal RNA", at positions 354 to 796 of the family's 1533-position model. The record is from RNAcentral.
GUAAGGAAUAUUGGUCAAUGGACGAAAGUCUGAACCAGCCAUGCCGCGUGAAGGAUGAAGGCCCUCUGGGUUGUAAACUUCUUUUAUCUGGGACGAAAAAAGGGUAUUCUUACUCACUUGACGGUACCAGAGGAAUAAGCACCGGCUAACUCCGUGCCAGCAGCCGCGGUAAUACGGAGGGUGCAAGCGUUAUCCGGAUUCACUGGGUUUAAAGGGUGCGUAGGUGGGUAUUUAAGUCAGUGGUGAAAUCUCCGAGCUUAACUCGGAAACUGUCAUUGAUACUAUUUACCUUGAAUGCCCUGGAGGUAAGCGGAAUAUGUCAUGUAGCGGUGAAAUGCUUAGAUAUGACAUAGAACACCAAUUGCGAAGGCAGCUUACUACGGGGUGAUUGACACUGAGGCACGAAAGCGUGGGGAGCAAACAGGAUUAGAAACCCGUGUAGUCC